UAACGAAUCUUCCGCAAUGCGCGAAAGCGUGACGGGGCAAUGCCGCGUGCAGGAUGAAGCCCUUCGGGGUGUAAACUGCUGUCAGGGUGCAGGAACUCAAUGACCAUACCCAAAGGAAGCACCGGCUAACUCUGUGCCAGCAGCCGCGGUAAUACAGAGGGUGCAAGCGUUAAUCGGAAUCACUGGGCUUAAAGCGUUCGUAGGCGGACUUGCAGGCACCUUGUGAAAGCCCUCGGCUCAACCGGGGAACUGCUUGGUGAACCUCAAGUCUUGAGUCAAGUAGGGGCGGUCGGAACGAUAGGUGGAGCGGUGAAAUGCGUAGAUAUCUAUCGGAACGCCGAAGGUGAAGACAGGCCGCUGGGCUUGUACUGACGCUGAGGAACGAAAGCGUGGGGAGCAA
RNAcentral lists this ribosomal RNA (400 nucleotides) under uncultured bacterium. RNAcentral describes it as "bacterial SSU rRNA". It matches the Rfam family "Bacterial small subunit ribosomal RNA", at positions 355 to 771 of the family's 1533-position model. The record is from RNAcentral.